Molecule: ribosomal RNA, 301 nt
Filed under: uncultured bacterium
Lineage: Bacteria
Description: partial 16S ribosomal RNA
Rfam family: Bacterial small subunit ribosomal RNA
Source: RNAcentral
CAGCCGCGGGAAUACGUAGGGUGCAAGCGUUAAUCGGAAUUACUGGGCGUAAAGCGUGCGCAGGCGGUUAUAUAAGACAGAUGUGAAAUCCCCGGGCUCAACCUGGGAACUGCAUUUGUGACUGUAUAGCUAGAGUACGGCAGAGGGGGAUGGAAUUCCGCGUGUAGCAGUGAAAUGCGUAGAUAUGCGGAGGAACACCGAUGGCGAAGGCAAUCCCCUGGGCCUGUACUGACGCUCAUGCACGAAAGCGUGGGGAGCAAACAGGAUUAGAUACCCCAGUAGUCCCUGUCUCUUAUACACA